AGGUGCAGUCUACCAUGCAGUCGAGCGGAUGAGGGGGCUUGCUCCUGGAUUCAGCGGCGGACGGGUGAGUAAUGCCUAGGAAUCUGCCUGGUAGUGGGGGAUAACGUCCGGAACGGGCGCUUUACCGCAUACGUUUGAGGGAAGUGGGGGAUCUCGGACUCGUUAUCAAAAGAUAGGGCGGAUUAGCUUGUUGUGGGGGAAAGGCUUCCAAGGGACCAUCCCAACCGGGUUGAGAGGAGACAGACCCCGGAAUUUAAACCGCCCAACCCCCACGGGGGGAAAAGGGGGAAUUUGCAUUGGGUAAAAAUUUUUUUUAGUCCCCGGGGAAAAAGAUCGUUUAAAAUUAUGU
This 349-nucleotide ribosomal RNA is filed under the name Pseudomonas sp. Sw1b. RNAcentral describes it as "partial 16S ribosomal RNA". The stretch from base 19 to 281 matches the Rfam family "Bacterial small subunit ribosomal RNA", at positions 60 to 350 of the family's 1533-position model. The record is from RNAcentral. Lineage: Bacteria; Pseudomonadati; Pseudomonadota; Gammaproteobacteria; Pseudomonadales; Pseudomonadaceae.